UACGAGGGGCCCAAACGUUAUUCGGAUUUACUGGGCUUAAAGAGUUCGUAGGCGGCGCGGAAAGUAGGGUGUGAAAGCCCUCGGCUCAACCGAGGAAUUGCGCUCUAAACUACCGUGCUUGAGGAACCUAGAGGUGAGCAGAACUGAUGGUGGAGCGGUGAAAUGCGUUGAUAUCAUCAGGAAUACCGGAGGCGAAGGCGGCUCACUGGGGGUUAUCUGACGCUGAGGAACGAAAGCCAGGGGAGCAAACGGG
This 253-nucleotide ribosomal RNA is filed under the name uncultured bacterium. Its description in RNAcentral is "partial 16S ribosomal RNA". It matches the Rfam family "Bacterial small subunit ribosomal RNA", at positions 524 to 776 of the family's 1533-position model. The record is from RNAcentral.